Molecule: unclassified non-coding RNA, 548 nt
Filed under: Alternaria alternata
Lineage: Eukaryota; Fungi; Ascomycota; Dothideomycetes; Pleosporales; Pleosporaceae
Description: sequence contains ITS1, 5.8S rRNA gene, ITS2, 28S rRNA gene
Source: RNAcentral
AGUUCAGCGGGUAUCCCUACCUGAUCCGAGGUCAAAAGUUGAAAAAAGGCUUAAUGGAUGCUAGACCUUUGCUGAUAGAGAGUGCGACUUGUGCUGCGCUCCGAAACCAGUAGGCCGGCUGCCAAUUACUUUAAGGCGAGUCUCCAGCAAAGCUAGAGACAAGACGCCCAACACCAAGCAAAGCUUGAGGGUACAAAUGACGCUCGAACAGGCAUGCCCUUUGGAAUACCAAAGGGCGCAAUGUGCGUUCAAAGAUUCGAUGAUUCACUGAAUUCUGCAAUUCACACUACUUAUCGCAUUUCGCUGCGUUCUUCAUCGAUGCCAGAACCAAGAGAUCCGUUGUUGAAAGUUGUAAUUAUUAAUUUGUUACUGACGCUGAUUGCAAUUACAAAAGGUUUAUGUUUGUCCUAGUGGUGGGCGAACCCACCAAGGAAACAAGAAGUACGCAAAAGACAAGGGUGAAUAAUUCAGCAAGGCUGUAACCCCGAGAGGUUCCAGCCCGCCUUCAUAUUUGUGUAAUGAUCCCUCCGCAGGUUCACCUACGGAGA